CGGGGAGAGGGGCGGCGGAGGGGCGCGGGUCGGAGCGCGGUGCUGUGCCGGGAAGACGCUGAACUUCUCGUGCGCUGAAGAGCCAGAUGAGCAGCGCAAGUCAUUAGUCACCCAGCAGGGUCUGGCCACUGAGACGAAACAUCUCAUUUUCAAGAACAUCUUCGGGGAUGAUGGCAAAUCACAGACACCGAUGGCGAUGCGCUCAGCAUUAAAGAACACAGUGUAAAAUCGAAUGUGACAAGCAGAGGACCUGUUUUGUUUUGUUGCUUUUUCUUAUAAACAGAACAAUAAAUUUGCUUAAAAGCUAGAUAAAUUGUGAUAGGGUGUAAUAUUCCGUACUGCGAUGUUCUGGUCCAACGGCUUAGAAUAACUAAAGAAUAUUAUUUGGUUUUUACUUUAGAGAAUUUAAACUCCAUCACCUUUGCAGCUCUCAGCGCACAUCAGUUAUUGAACAGGAGCUGAUAUUGUGUUAGAU
RNAcentral lists this long non-coding RNA (475 nucleotides) under Gallus gallus (chicken). RNAcentral's name for it is "long non-coding RNA NONGGAT003743". The record is from RNAcentral. Lineage: Eukaryota; Metazoa; Chordata; Aves; Galliformes; Phasianidae.